RNAcentral lists this ribosomal RNA (321 nucleotides) under Apodemus sylvaticus (European woodmouse). RNAcentral describes it as "partial 18S ribosomal RNA". It matches the Rfam family "Eukaryotic small subunit ribosomal RNA", at positions 30 to 300 of the family's 1831-position model. The record is from RNAcentral. Lineage: Eukaryota; Metazoa; Chordata; Mammalia; Rodentia; Muridae.
GCUUGUCUCAAAGAUUAAGCCAUGCAUGUCUAAGUACGCACGGCCGGUACAGUGAAACUGCGAAUGGCUCAUUAAAUCAGUUAUGGUUCCUUUGGUCGCUCGCUCCUCUCCUACUUGGAUAACUGUGGUAAUUCUAGAGCUAAUACAUGCCGACGGGCGCUGACCCCCCCUCCCGGGGGGGGGAUGCGUGCAUUUAUCAGAUCAAAACCAACCCGGUCAGCUACCUCUCGGCUCCGGCCGCGGGGCGGGCGCCGGCGGCUUUGGUGACUCUAGAUAACCUCGGGCCGAUCGCACGCCCCCCGUGGCGGCGACGACCCAUUC